UGUUUUCCGAUAUAGCCGAAGAGGUGUUCUGCAAAACUGAUUCUGCAGUUCGGAUAUUCGUUCGUUUCGGGUAUAGGCCGUUGGCGAAAAUCGAAACGAACGUUUAUCGUUCAAGCUUUUGUCCGAGCCGAGUUGGUCGCGAACCAGAUGACUCGGCGUCGCGUGCACGACCGUAAACGCGUGCAACUCAUCACGACCGUUAUUGUUGUCGAUGCGCACGUCGGACCGCACGCGGCCACGCGAAAAGAGACAUCAACCUCCAGCCGGCGGUGCACAACACGGUGGGAGGGGGUGCGCGGAACACGUGUGCGCGCGACCCCGUCGGAACGUUUAUCGAGUUAGUCGCCGACCGUCUGGGGAACGCGCGCGGUCCGUCGGGAUUCGCUCGUUGCGGACCGUUCUCGCGCCGCCGCGUUAUGUUAGGGUUGGCUCGCGCCCUUACCGACGCACAGCGGGCCGGAACGUGAAAGAGCGGGACGAAAAUACGUUUCGUCCUCGUUUGUAUAAAAUAUUUUAUAUUGGUGCACACUUCGGCAAUGCGAAACAGUUAUUACGUGUUAUUUGUCAAUGAUUUACCGUGGUACACGAGUGAAAAAAAAACAACAGCGUUUAACUGUUAACGCUAUUCUCACUCGUACUUCCGUCAUCGCUUUCUUCAUUGUUAGAUACGUCAACUUUUUCAUCGUUUCGCUUUUUUUCAUCGUUGGGCCGGCUUCAGCUCUUUUUUUUUUUCAGCAAAGUGCAAGAAUUAUUUAUCCUUCAUCUUAAACCAGCGACGUAUUUACGAGGAGUGGAGGGAUCAAUCCUCUCCCCCAUUGGUGUUUUUUCCUAAGAAACGUCUUAGCAGACUAGCGCUUUUAUCAGUUUAUCGGAGAAUAGACACAAAUAAAAACCAGCGAAAAACAGUUGAAGCCGGGAUAAAAAAAAAUACUGCCCUACAUUUCUUUAACUAAAAGUAUAGUUCGUGAAUAAUAACUGUAAUAUGUACCCAGUUUUCCCUACUUAAUACAAUACAUUUAAUCCAAUUGAUUAAUAAAUAUUUAUUCCUAUAGAAAUAAUACACAACGCUGUUUUAUUUGAACUAUUUUUUUUUUUUACUCGGUAAUUCGAAUUCUCUCCAAAUCGAAUUUUCCGAUAAGUUUUCUAAAUUUAGAAUUGUCGAGAGUUUACUUAUAGAAACAUAAUUAAUAUUAUUAAUAUAAAAAGCCCAAUAUGGGGGUGACGAUCGGCAUCUUACCUAUCCCACAAAACUACCCCUGCCUAAUAUAAGAAAUCAUAUAUUUUUAAUUAAAAGUUUUAAAUUUGAAAAUUUCGAGACAACUACAAACAAUCGAAUAAAAUGGACGAUCUACAAGAAUUCGGUAAGUACUCAAUUUCGUUAGAUAAUUCUUUCAACACGUGUUGAACGGACGCUACUCGCUCGCGAUGAAAGUUCAAGACUUGGCUACUUUUGUCGUUACUCGUUGACCAUUUCACACUCCAUACAUUUUCACUAUUCUACUUCGUUGUUUGAGAACGAUACCGUACAAUCAGACCCGUGCGCGGGAAUCGUCCAAAGGAGGGGUUCAAAAAUUAUAUAUGUUGUGUUAGGUAAAACAUACCAUACAUGCAUUUACAGCGGUAAUCGACAUUAGGUGCAGUAUAACCGACAAUUAAAUAGAAAAAGGCGUCAAAUCGAAAACAUUGACACUGUUAAAACAAAAAUAGGCACUAUAGGUAUAUGAAUUUUCGAUUCAGUUUUUAAUUAUUAUGGAAUGAGGACUAGGUAUUCUAUAUAUUCUUAGUAAAAAUGUAUGUAAAAAAGAAAAGAUCCUCAAUGGGAGGGUUAAAAAUCUCAAAACCUCUCCCUAGCGCACAGGCCUGCGUAAAGUACCAUAGGCACCGAAACUAACCUAACCUAAUCCAUGGCCAAAAUCGUACGCAACGUGUGGACAUGAAAUACGCGUGCGUGUAGGUAAAUUAGCAGAUAGGUACACAUACUUACGCGCGACUUCGUUGACACGUGGGCUAGUGAAUUCGACAAACGUAACCGAACACUCGAGUGUUAUGCAUAAACGUUAUCGAUUAGACCGAAUGUGCAUAAAUAAUUACGUACGUUUAUUGUUUCAAAACGAUAGAGUAAAAGCGAUCAGCCGCAGUGUUGACUGAAACCUUGGAACCCGCAGUCGACUGGAUUGAUCAAACCCGUUGAAAUGGGCCAUGCUUUUGUGUUUAGUUCAAAAAUUAAUGACAAAAGUAUAGAUGAUUUAAUGUCUGUUUUGUAUAAUGUAAAAGAUCAUAUUAAGGAUCUUAAUAUUACAGAAAUUCUUGAAAAGCAAGGCCAAUCCUUACUUUCCUUCUUUCCGAUCGAUAAACUUAUAUAUGAAUCCAUUUAUAAGGACGUUGUUGUUGUAAAUUAUUAGCUUAUUAUCAAUGAUGUGAAAAAAACCAUUAUUUUUUAUUUCGAACAAAAUUAACCAUGAAUGUUGUUUUUUAGUGCCGU
Molecule: long non-coding RNA, 2482 nt
Organism: Sipha flava (yellow sugarcane aphid)
Lineage: Eukaryota; Metazoa; Arthropoda; Insecta; Hemiptera; Aphididae
Exons: 3
Source: RefSeq, a predicted model, not a curated record